Molecule: ribosomal RNA, 855 nt
Filed under: Remototrachyna crenata
Lineage: Eukaryota; Fungi; Ascomycota; Lecanoromycetes; Lecanorales; Parmeliaceae
Description: eukaryotic LSU rRNA
Rfam family: Eukaryotic large subunit ribosomal RNA
Source: RNAcentral
GGGAUUGCCUUAGUAACGGCGAGUGAAGCGGCAAAAGCUCAAAUUUGAAAUCUGGCCCUUUCUGGGUCCGAGUUGUAAUUUGUAGAGAGUGUUUCGGGUGAGUCCGCGGUCUAAGUCUAUUGGAACAUAGUGUCACAGAGGGUGAGAAUCCCGUAUGUGGCCGCGGUACGAGUCCAUGUGAAACCUCUUCGACGAGUCGAGUUGUUUGGGAAUGCAGCUCAAAAUGGGUGGUAAAUUUCAUCUAAAGCUAAAUACCGGCUGGAGACCGAUAGCGCACAAGUAGAGUGAUCGAAAGAUGAAAAGCACUUUGGAAAGAGAGUUAAACAGUACGUGAAAUUGUUGAAAGGGAAGCGUUUGCAACCAGACUUGCCCGUAGGCGAUCAGUCGCUGUUCUCAGCGGUGUACUCGUCCUAUGAUCAGGCCAGCAUCGGUUUCGGCGGUCGGAUAAAGGCCUUGGGAAUGUAGCUUCUCUUCGGGGGAGUCUUAUAGCCCUCGGUGUAAUGCGGCCAGCCGAGACCGAGGACCGCGCUUCGGCUAGGAUGCUGGCGUAAUGGUUGUAAACGACCCGUCUUGAAACACGGACCAAGGAGUCUAACAUCUAUGCGAGUGUUUGGGUGUUAAACCCAUACGCGGAAUGAAAGUGAACGGAGGUGAGAUCCCUCGAGGGCGCAUCAUCGACCGAUCCAGAUGUCUUCGGAUGGAUUUGAGUAUGAGCAUAGCUGUUGGGACCCGAAAGAUGGUGAACUAUGCCUGAAUAGGGUGAAGCCAGAGGAAACUCUGGUGGAGGCUCGCAGCGGUUCUGACGUGCAAAUCGAUCGUCAAAUUUGGGUAUAGGGGCGAAAGACUAAUCAACCU